This 1406-nucleotide ribosomal RNA is filed under the name uncultured bacterium. RNAcentral describes it as "16S ribosomal RNA". It matches the Rfam family "Bacterial small subunit ribosomal RNA". The record is from RNAcentral.
AGAGUUUGAUCCUGGCUCAGGAUGAACGCUAGCGACAGGCCUAACACAUGCAAGUCGAGGGGCAUCGGGGCGAGGAGCAAUCCUUGCCGCCGGCGACCGGCGCACGGGUGAGUAACGCGUAUGCGACCUGCCCGUUGCAGGGGGAUAAUCGGGAGAAAUCCCGUCUAAUACCGCGUAAUGCCGCGGGGCUGCAUGGCCCUGCGGCCAAAGGGAGCGAUUCCGGCAACGGAUGGGCAUGCGUGACAUUAGCUAGUUGGCGGGGCAACGGCCCACCAAGGCGACGAUGUCUAGGGGUUCUGAGAGGAAGGUCCCCCACACUGGUACUGAGACACGGACCAGACUCCUACGGGAGGCAGCAGUGAGGAAUAUUGGUCAAUGGGCGCGAGCCUGAACCAGCCAAGUCGCGUGAGGGAUGACGGCCCUACGGGUUGUAAACCUCUUUUGUCGGGGAGCAAAUUCCGUUACGUGUAACGGAGUCGAGAGUACCCGAAGAAAAAGCAUCGGCUAACUCCGUGCCAGCAGCCGCGGUAAUACGGAGGAUGCGAGCGUUAUCCGGAUUUAUUGGGUUUAAAGGGUGCGUAGGCGGACUGUCAAGUCAGCGGUAAAAUACGGGGGCUCAACCUCCGCCCGCCGUUGAAACUGACGGUCUUGAGUGGGCGAGAAGUAUGCGGAAUGCGUGGUGUAGCGGUGAAAUGCAUAGAUAUCACGCAGAACUCCGAUUGCGAAGGCAGUGUACCGGCGCCCAACUGACGCUGAAGCACGAAAGCGUGGGUAUCGAACAGGAUUAGAUACCCUGGUAGUCCACGCAGUAAACGAUGAAUACUAGCUGUCCGGGGCGAAUGAGCCCUGGGUGGCACAGCGAAAGCGUUAAGUAUUCCACCUGGGGAGUACGCCGGCAACGGUGAAACUCAAAGGAAUUGACGGGGGCCCGCACAAGCGGAGGAACAUGUGGUUUAAUUCGAUGAUACGCGAGGAACCUUACCCGGGCUCAAACGACACAGGAACGUACCUGAAAGGGUUCGGCUCUACGGAGCCUGUGUCGAGGUGCUGCAUGGUUGUCGUCAGCUCGUGCCGUGAGGUGUCGGCUUAAGUGCCAUAACGAGCGCAACCCCCAUCGACAGUUGCUAACAGGUCAGGCUGAGGACUCUGUCGAGACUGCCGGCGCAAGCUGCGAGGAAGGCGGGGAUGACGUCAAAUCAGCACGGCCCUUACGUCCGGGGCGACACACGUGUUACAAUGGCAGGUACAGCGGGAAGCCACCUGGCGACAGGGAGCGGAACCCGAAAGCCUGUCUCAGUUCGGAUUGGAGUCUGCAACCCGACUCCAUGAAGCUGGAUUCGCUAGUAAUCGCGCAUCAGCCACGGCGCGGUGAAUACGUUCCCGGGCCUUGCACACAAAGCCCGUCA